GUUCCCUCAUGAGUGUGGGCAUCUGUGGGGUUGCAGCAGGAGCUUCUUGGGGCUAAGGAGGAACUAUGAGCAGUUCAGAGCAGCCCUUCCUGCAAGGCCUGGUUCCCUCCAUGGAGAGAUGCACCAAACUUCCAGCAAAGCAGUUUACCCUCUGAGGCCCUUGCUGUCAGCUCCAAGCUCAUACAUCCAUGCCCUGCUGUCGAGCCUGACAGCCAUCUAUUGUUCAUUCACUGCUUCCACCUCGCCACUUAAUAAAGAAGACUGGAACCACCAGAAACCACCUGCAUGCUGUCAGCUGGAGUGCUUCAGGUUUCCUUCUUAGCAGCUUGGAACAGUGUUAGAAUUAUUCCUUUAAUGCUCUUAAUCUGACCCAUAAAAUAGCAGUUCACAGAAGGCAGAAACCCAAAGCCUU
Molecule: long non-coding RNA, 412 nt
Organism: Zonotrichia leucophrys gambelii
Lineage: Eukaryota; Metazoa; Chordata; Aves; Passeriformes; Passerellidae
Exons: 3
Source: RefSeq, a predicted model, not a curated record